Bombyx mori (domestic silkworm) is the source of this 751-nucleotide long non-coding RNA. RefSeq lists it as uncharacterized. The record is from RefSeq and is a predicted model, not a curated record. Lineage: Eukaryota; Metazoa; Arthropoda; Insecta; Lepidoptera; Bombycidae. The transcript is spliced from 2 exons.
UUGUAACAAACACAAUAUUAAGGGCAACGUGCGUAAUCGAGUUUUUUUUUUAAUUCUUCGUUACAGUUUCAUACAAUUUCAUGUUUACAUUUGUCAACCUUUAUACUAUAUAAUUGAGAUUAGGACCUCAUGUCUCAAGGUGGGUGGCUGCGUUCAUUUGGUGAUGUCCAUGUGCGCCGGUAACUACUCAACAACAAGUGAACUCGUUGACCCAUCUAUGUAUGACCCAUCUAUAAAUUAAAAAGUAAAAUAAUCGCAUCGUGAAGUAAAAAUGGCGCCAGUCCUCUCGAUGUCUCGUAGAUCGAGUUGAAAUGAACCUUGACACUCGAACAGACUCGAGAGGUUUGCUCUUCGUUUGAGACUCGUAUUGUUACGUCACACGCAUUGUAUGUAACUGUUCUUGUUAUUAUUUGUACAAAACACGUACACGAAAAUAAAGAAAUGCGGGAAAAUAAUUGAAGACAUGUGUGCAUGAAGGGUGAUAUGAUACAAUUUAAUAAUUUUGAGAAAAUUGCCAACAAGCUUUUGUUACUUGUCCUUUUUCUUCGUACAUACUCCUUCGUCACAUGUAAUUUCUAAAAAUAGCUUUUAAGCUUGGAGUAUUAAGGUCUAAUAUCAUUUAUAGGCACAUAACACCUUCGUACAAUGUAAAAACUAAAAAAAUCUUAAAAAUGGUAUACUUAACCCCUUCGUUCACUCAUGUCUUCAGUUAAUGAAUACCAUUGACACAUUCUUAGCGAUACACAAUUUA